RNAcentral lists this long non-coding RNA (858 nucleotides) under Homo sapiens (human). Its description in RNAcentral is "long non-coding RNA NONHSAT092939". Lineage: Eukaryota; Metazoa; Chordata; Mammalia; Primates; Hominidae. The record is from RNAcentral.
AGGAGCCUGCGCGGGACCCCAGCAUCCUGAGGCUGCCCAGGGUCGUCGGGGUCCCCGGACCCCGCGGGCGCCGCCACCGGGGCGAGCAACAGCAGCAGCGCGAGCAGCGGGGCGGUGGGGCGCGGGCCCCUGGGCCCGGACCAGGGAGCAGGCAGCCGUUGCCGGCGGGGCUGCAUGGACGCAGGAAAGUUGGCUCGGCACCCGACAGACACGGGCUCGGAGCGGGCAGUGCCGGCGCUCGCGGAAAUAAGGCCGUGGUGGGCCCCUCCCCUCCGCCCCCAGGGCGAAGAUAAUUGUGAAACACCUGUGCCAGGCCCUGGGGGAAUGAGGGUGAACAAUCUUAAACAUCUCUGCCUUCCUGGAGCACACCUUCUAGGUUGCACAGUGGCUCAGAGAGUAGACUUGGAGCCAGGCUGCCCGGUUUUAUAGCCCUGCUUGACCUGUGUGAUCCGAGAAUAAUCUUGUUUAAUCUCCACAAGUUUGAGGACUAAACUGGGUGCCACAGAGAAUUAAGUAACUGGUCGAGGUUGUAUCAGUAAGAAGGGAGCACGGAACAGAUUCAAGCUCAGCUUACACUUGGCAAUCUUCUAGGGAGGACUUUGGCUGAACCCAGUGAACCAGGAGGAAAAGAAUCACAAACAUCUGGAGUUUGUUGACUAGAAAAAUUCCUUGUGGUCUGACAGAUUACCAUUUCCUACCCAGCCAUUCUCAUCAGAGAAACCAGUCCCAUUUUCAACUGGCGCGGCUAGUUGAAAGUUCCACAUGUUUCCCCAGAAAAUGGCAUAGCCAGAAGGCCCUCACCAGAUUCCAGCACCAGCCUCCAGAACAUGAGCCAAAUAAAUCAUCGUUUAUAAAUUA